AAAGCCUGACGCAGCAACGCCGCGUGCGGGAUGAAGGCCUUCGGGUUGUAAACCGCUUUCAGCAGGGAAGAAGCGAAAGUGACGGUACCUGCAGAAGAAGCACCGGCUAACUACGUGCCAGCAGCCGCGGUAAUACGUAGGGUGCAAGCGUUGUCCGGAUUUAUUGGGCGUAAAGAGCUCGUAGGCGGUUAGUCGCGUCGGAUGUGAAAACCCAGUGCUUAACACUGGGCCUGCAUUCGAUACGGGCUGACUAGAGUGUUGUAGGGGAGACUGGAACUCCUGGUGUAGCGGUGAAAUGCGCAGAUAUCAGGAAGAACACCGGUGGCGAAGGCGGGUCUCUGGGCAACUACUGACGCUGAGGAGCGAAAGCGUGGGGAGCAAACAGGAUUARRKACCCUGGUAGUCCACGCCGUAAACGGUGGSCBYWWKGUWWGGGGAACAUUCCACGUUCUCCGUGCCGCAGCUAACGCAUAAG
This 475-nucleotide ribosomal RNA is filed under the name uncultured bacterium. Its description in RNAcentral is "partial 16S rRNA". It matches the Rfam family "Bacterial small subunit ribosomal RNA", at positions 378 to 863 of the family's 1533-position model. The record is from RNAcentral.